Pseudoliparis swirei is the source of this 3153-nucleotide long non-coding RNA. RefSeq lists it as uncharacterized. Lineage: Eukaryota; Metazoa; Chordata; Actinopteri; Perciformes; Liparidae. The transcript has 2 exons. The record is from RefSeq and is a predicted model, not a curated record.
GGGGGAGGUCGACCAACCUCGGGCUCAGUGCCUCCCCCGCAUCAGUAAGAACGUCCCGCUAGAGCGAUCACACACCAGACAUGGCAGGAACCAGUGUGCGCCUUCACACGCAUACACACGUCUCAUUUACAUCCACGGGCAAGCUCCGAGCGGCGGCGUUGGCACUGUGGGCGGUUGUCACGGGCUGCUGGGCUCUCCCCGGCUGAUCUGGAGCGACGGCGGCGGCGGAGGUGGUGCAGGUGAUUGCGCGAGGCAUCACCCGUUCAUCGGCAUCAGUCCCGGCCACCAUUUGUAGCAUCCCCAUUUGCAUGCGUAGGGAGGCACAUUACGUCGCCGCUCUGAUGUGGGAGGAGGGAGCAGGAGAGAGGUGGGGGGGGGCAGGGGUAGAGAUGAGGGAAAUGGGGCAUUGGAAGUGAGGAGGACGGCGGGGGGAGAGAUUUCAGUGGAGCUUUCGGGAUCCGCUUGUUCCUUUUUGAGCUGAAGGUAACUGGGGGAGAAAGGAGGGGAUAGAUGGAUGGUCAAAGAUUCAAAGCUGAAGAGGCCCGGUCUUCGACAACAGCUCAAUUCACCACAGGAGUGCUCGGCCGAUCCCCGGAAAACAAAAGAGCCCACUUAAAAAAAAAAUAAUACAAUCUCCAUUCAUCCUAAUGGGCUGUGAAACCUCAACAGUACGCAAAGCACCGGAGACGCCGCGUUCACCUCCAUCUUUAUCCGAUCGAGCACAAGACCCCAUCGUCCUUUCGACAACAGCACACCCGGAGAGGGUGGGGAGAAAAAAAUGGAGAGCAUAGAAAUAAAUAAAUAAAUUCUCAAGAAUAGAAAUCCACCGUUUCCCGCAAUCCGACGGAAGAAGCUCCCGAUUCUAUCGCCGUAGCAUCCAUUCAUUAACAGGGGGGGGAGGGGGGGGGAUGCAAACUCCAGUCAACGGCAAAUCUCUUUCAACGCUAAUGCUGCAGCUGCUCCCAGCACCUCCAGGAAGGGUGUGUGUGUGUGUGUGUGUGUGUGUGUGAGAGAACGUGUGUAUGCGCGCAACCGCCUGCUGCGCGCGAUUCUGCGUGAGCAUGCAUGCGUCUGUGUCUGGGUGAUUGAGGCUGAGGGGAGGGGAGGAGUGGAUGAGAGAGAGAGAGAGAGAGAGAGAAUAUCAACAGCUCCAAACACACACAAUAAUAUAUAUAUAUAUAUAUAUAUAUUUUGACCGGGGAACAGCUCAGGUUCCAAAUCUUUGGCUGAAUUUCCCCCCUUCCUCUGGUGUUCCCUCACCCUCUGCUCUUGAAGGAUGAGGGGUCCCUUAAGCCACCAUCCGUUCUCUCUUUUGGUGUCCCACCUGAAGCUAAAGACUUGACAGGGCCACAACCAAAGUGGAAAGUGGAAGUGUUUCCCAACGUCCCGACUUUUGUCUGAUUAGUGCUUUCCCACCGGUUGAUUCCCAAUAAUAAUGCUGUGUGUGGCGCCGUCGGUGGGAAGAAGAAAAAAAAACCCCAAAGCAUCACCUUAAUCACAUCCGGAGUGGCAGCUCCUGCUAGCUGCACACUCCUGCUGACUCACAUGUGUGGAGUGUGAAUGGACGGUUGGAGGGACAGAAUAAGGAGCAAUGUGAGAGGGCAGGACGGGUGGAGGAGGAGGAGGAGGGGGGGGAUGCGGUGUCACAACCAAUCUGCUCCCGUUCACUGAUACCAAAGAGAACGAGGAGAGGAGGGGUGAGGAGGAGGAGGAGGAGGAGGAGGAGGAGGAGGAGGGAGAGCGACACCACGCCAGCCAUUUUAUUUCUCAGUAGUGCUGCAACAGCCUUUGUUGCCAUGACGACGCAAGCCGAUGAUCUCAUAGCUGUUACCUUUGAGCGCUGAUCCCUUAAAGAGACAGUCACUCAAGACAGGAGCGGGCAGACACCACGGAGACGGGGACGGAGCGCUCCGUCGGACGGACGGAAAGUACUCCGACAUCGCCGCUGAAACAUGGAGAUCCCUCAACACUCGUCUCACAACCAGGAUUACUGUGAUUCUCUCACCGGGAGAAACGAAUAGCAAGAUGUCCUGAUAACAGAAAGGCCUUUUCUGAAGGAAAAAAAAAGACAUGUAUCCACAGUGACGACAUCGAUUUGCAUGACAUCCGACGGAAAAUCCUACUCACUCCAAAUGUUGUUCACUGAUGGAACUGACGAUCUCAACUGAGGCUCUACUGGCACAAAACAGCUGAUAUGUGACAUCGCUCUCAUCUGCGGACACACUCGGUCGGAUAAAGAAGCUUGCGAGGGUGUGAUGGAUGCAGCGGUUAGACUCGCUGACAAUAAAGUCAUCCAAACCUGUCCCAGCACACACACACACACACACCGUUAUAGCCUUGCCAGGAAAAGAUGAGUGUGAGUGUGGGAAUGUUGAACUGGAGGAGAACUGGGCCCAGAGUCCCUUCUCCUCUCCCUGAAGGAGUAAACUACCUGUUGGGAGGCGAGGUCUUGAGUCAGAGGGAGUAAAAGAUAUCAUAUAAAAACCUCAGGGAAAAGUAUUUCACUCGCAUUCAUAAGUAAGGAGAGUAAUUUGCGGUUUCUUCCAGUAGCAAGGGGCACAACACCUGAAACCAGUCUUCCCCAGUUCGAUAUUAUUCAAGGUGCGCAGCUAUUUCUUUCAUUGUUCUGGGAUUUUACGGUGUGAAAACCUGAACCCUGAAUUUAGUCCGAGUCUUUAGGGUGUUACGUCUCAACAGUCAAGUCCAUGUCCUCAUUUGUGUGACUUAAAUCUCACGUCUCCAGCUCUGAACUGACGUAUUUAGUCUAAACGAAAAGUACUACUAAAUGGUGACGCAAGUUAAUAUGACCGGUUGAAAUCACUUUAUGUGCGUCAUGUAGCUAGUCGUCUUCUGACAGUCAUGUUAUUGCCACUGAACACUUAUUCAUACCCUCUGUCAUAUUCAUUGAAUGUGUUGUUACAUUGUAAUGAUGCCUUCUGUACACAUCCGGGGAGAGAGAUCCUCCUCUGUUGCUCUCCUGAAUGUUUCUUCCCUGUGAAAGAUUUUUUGGGAGUUUUCCCUGAUCCGAUGUGAGGUUCUGGGACAGGAAUGUCUAUGUGUACAGAUUGUAAAGCCCUCUGAGGCAAAUUUUUAAUUUGUGAAAAUGGGCUACACAAAAUAAACUGAAUUUAAUAAACUUAUUGUUGACAGACA